RNAcentral lists this ribosomal RNA (478 nucleotides) under uncultured bacterium. Its description in RNAcentral is "partial 16S ribosomal RNA". It matches the Rfam family "Bacterial small subunit ribosomal RNA", at positions 28 to 523 of the family's 1533-position model. The record is from RNAcentral.
GACGAACGCUGGCGGCGUGCUUAACACAUGCAAGUCGAACGGUAAGGCCCUUCGGGGUACACGAGUGGCGAACGGGUGAGUAACACGUGGGUGAUCUGCCCUGCACUUCGGGAUAAGCCUGGGAAACUGGGUCUAAUACCGGAUAGGACUCCUGGCUUCAUGGUUGGGGGUGGAAAGCUUUUGCGGUGUGGGAUGGGCCCGCGGCCUAUCAGCUUGUUGGUGGGGUAAUGGCCUACCAAGGCGACGACGGGUAGCCGGCCUGAGAGGGUGACCGCUCAAACUGGGACUGAGAAACGGCCCAGAGUCCUACGGGAAGCAGCAGUGGGGAAUAUUGCACAAGGGGCGCAAGCCUGACGCAGCGACGCCGCGUGAGGGAUGACGGCCUUCGGGUUGUAAACCUCUUUCAGCUAUGACGAGGCGCAAGUGACGGUAGUAGCAGAAGAAGGACCGGCCAACUACGUGCCAGCAGCCGCGGUAA